UACGAAGGGGGCUAGCGUUGUUCGGAAUUACUGGGCGUAAAGCGCACGUAGGCGGCUUCUUAAGUUAGGGGUGAAAGCCCAGGGCUCAACCCUGGAAAUGCCCUUAAGACUGGGAAGCUUGAACACGGGAGAGGUGAGUGGAAUUCCGAGUGUAGAGGUGAAAUUCGUAGAUAUUCGGAGGAACACCAGUGGCGAAGGCGGCUCACUGGACCGUAGUUGACGCUGAGGUGCGAAAGCGUGGGGAGCAAACAGG
Molecule: ribosomal RNA, 253 nt
Filed under: uncultured bacterium
Lineage: Bacteria
Description: partial 16S ribosomal RNA
Rfam family: Bacterial small subunit ribosomal RNA
Source: RNAcentral